UGUGAAAAAGGCGAACGAAGCGGAAAGCAAACGAAGCAAAGAGUCGCCCGAAGCGAGUCGUUUGGACGAGGGACGAGGGAAAGAAAACUUGAGCAUUUUCGCCACGUCGAAUGGAGCCAAGUUCCAAGCUGGAGUUGGAGGCGUCCGAGUCGCUGUGAGCUGGACUAGGUGGUCCACCGUUUGCCAACCCAUCCGGCGAGACUCCCAAACCCGGUAUCACAGCCGACGGGGAAGUUGCGAGUUCUUCCUCGAUCGGCAUGCUUCGUGGCCAAACCGGAAGGUCCAGCGGUGCUUGUUGUUGCAGGCUGAGGCUCUCGUAGUAGCUGGGGUUUGGGCUGGUCGAGUAACCGGAAAUCGGGCUGUAAAAACCCGGCACCACUCCUAGCAGCGUGCCCGGAUAGCGAACAGAGCCGUACGGACCAACGUGGCUUGGCAUUCUACCCGGAACGUAAACGAUCAUGUUUAUUCUUUCUUGUAUUUAUCUGUUCCCUUUAAUUUCGUUAUGUCGAGGAACUCGCCAAUUCGAUCGAAAAACGUGCAAAUUUUCCUGAUACCGGAUCGCCGUGUACGUUGCCUGGAUCAACGAGAAUUAUGGUGAGAAAGGAUCGGAAAAAUUGAAAAACUAUCGCGUUUACUUUGACGGACAAUUUGAUAGAAUUUGGAAUGGAUUUGCAGGAUGGAAAGGAGCACGUUGAAAUACGUAAGUUUUAGGAAUGUAAUCUUGUUUCAUCGGCUGCCUAUAUCUAUCUGGCUGUGAUCGACUCGUGCCACCCGUUGAUCGGAAUCGUCCUUUCCUCGAAUCGCGACCUCAAACGCCUCCGAAA
RNAcentral lists this unclassified non-coding RNA (824 nucleotides) under Bombus terrestris (buff-tailed bumblebee). RNAcentral describes it as "misc RNA ENSBTSG00005038489.1". Lineage: Eukaryota; Metazoa; Arthropoda; Insecta; Hymenoptera; Apidae. The record is from RNAcentral.